CAAUAGUCUGCCGAGAUGGCAACAGCGCCAGUCCCGGCUGAUGGUGCUAAGUGUCACAGUACUCAGUGUUGGGGGUUGCUGAGUCUCACUCCCAGAGUGCGGGACACAAAGCAAGAAACCAGUCCUCAAUGGGGGCAGAGCUUGGUCCAGACUUCCUGAUGCUCAUGAGCCCCCAGGCCAUGCGUUCUGUCUCAGCAGCAGAGUUGGGACCCAGGUUUGUUGGAGGUCCUAAAGCCUCCUGUCAUAAGGAGGCUCACACCUACCCACCCACGAGGGAGGUCACAGCACAGCUGGUUCUGUGGCUUCUACAAGUGUGUGGUGGCUCCAAGGGCCCCAUAAAGAUUUUUGUCUGGGUCCCCUGACCAAAGGUGUGUUGGAGCCAGCCAAGCAGGCUUCAUGGGGGAUUCCUGAAUUUUCAGGAAUUUUGGGUAUUGGUUGCUAAAUAAAGCCACAGAAAGCUUAAGCAUUAUCUUGAGUCCCCAAACUCCCCCUUGCUGGUUUUGUGGCCGUGUCGCUGUCCUCUGUGCUGCUAAGACCAUUACCGUACGCUACAUCUGUGUGGCUGCCAAACUAUGUACCAGUGAGUGACUUUGUGGGAGCCACAAGCAUCCACAGUGUUCAUGAAAACCUGAAUUCAGCCAAACUCCUGGUUGUGCCUUGCUUGCGUUAGUCUGCCUGUGAGCACCGCCAGCUUCUGCCAGAUGUAGGCUCCCUGUCUAGUAGGGGCCAUUGCUUCCUCUUGUUACCCAAAGGUCAGAUGUGCCCACUGUCCUGAUCUGGGAUGAAAUUCAGAGACGGCCAUAAAUUGGUUAAGGCAGCACAGCUGUUAGUAGCAGAAGCAGGACACAAACUCAGGACACUAAACAAGUCCAAUGUGGGGAUGAAGAACCGUAGCCAUCCGGAACCCGUUUUCCUGGGUCCUGCCUCAGUGUCUCACCUGCUGGGCUGCCCAGCUCCCUCAUAUGGCCAGUAGGUGGUGCUGUGGUCACAGACAGGCCUGUGGUCAGAGGGCUGUGGUGGGGGAAGUUUGAGGAGGGGAUGCAAAGGCUGGGACUCCACGGAGUCCGCCUGGAGCCCUGGAGCCCCUGUAGUGAGCUGCUCCCCUAUAUUACCCUCCUCCAACCGAAAGCCAGCAGUCGGGGACUUACGGGCUGGGAGGCCAGUGUCUUACCGCCUUGGGGGGGGGGAGACUUUGGUUUUGUCUUGGACCCCAGUACCAAACCCUUGCAUACUGGCUCCCCUAGCAGAGAGACCUGAUCCACACAGGGUAGUCCUGGUUGCUUCCAGGCCCAUCCUCUACCUUUCCCCAGCCUUCAGUGUUCCAGCAAUGCUGGUUUUUGUUUUUGUUUCUUUGUUUCCCCCUGAAACAUGGGGUCCCUGGAAUUUGCCCUCUUCCUAAGGAAACACAGUACACCUUCCUAUCUCUUCCUGGAUGCCCCAGUCCUGGUCUCUGGGAAGCCAGUCCUGGUUUGUUUGAGUUCUAGGGCUGCAGACCCUUGAAGAGUGUUGGGCAUAGUGGGAGAGAGUGUGUUGCUGAUGUUGAUGGAGGGGCCAGGUACACACCUGUACCCCUCUUUUCAGCAAUACAGUGCAGCCCUAUGACCAACCCACACCCUCUGGAGACAUCAGCUUCAGGCUCGGAAAACCUUUAGAAGAAAACUCAGGGCGGGGGUGUGCAGCUGGUGGACAUUGGUCUUCCUGAAGGGAAAACCAAAAGCGCAGUUAAAAGGGUGGAGAUGGAUGUGGGAGAGACAGUAUCUGAGCAAAAAACCUAGCAAAGCACAGGAAAUGGCAAAAUGCAGAAGCAGCUCCCCACAGCCAGGGAAAGGUACUGGCAGCUGUCUCUCUGGUAAGGGGUUACAGCCAAACUGUGAAAGAAAACACUCAACUCAUCAACAGACAGAUAACCCCCGACAAAAGGGCAGGGCAGGACAGGCUGACAUCCUCCAGAGUGGACAGACACCUGGCUAGCAGGUGCACAAACAGGUGUCUCCAUCACCGGAAACCCAGGCUGGGCCAUCAGAGCCUCCGUGAGCUGUCAGUUUUCACCUGUCAGGGCGGACUGUCAGAAAGCAAGACUGAGGGUGUGGAGGAGGGAAUGCUCCUGCCCUGUGGGUGAAGUGUGACACGGUGCAGCCAGUCAAGAAAACAGUAUGGAGGUUCCUCAGAAAAUUAAAAAUAGCACUGCCAUAUGAUUUAGUAAUCGCCCUUCUGGGCACACAUCCAAAAGCAUCAAGAUUAGGAUCUCGGGAGGUGUCACUCCUUGUUUGCUGAGGCAGCCACAAGGACAGGGUGCGGGGGCGACGUGCGUCCAUCUACGGCUGGGUGGAUGGGGGCGCAUGACAAGGCACCCAGGGGAAUACCAUCUCGCUCUUAAUGAGGAGGAAAGCUGACGCCUCAGGUGUGGGGCUGCUCCUGAAGAUCCUGUGCUAAGGGAAAAGAGCUGCUGCAGCGGACAGCAUGGCUACAACAUAUGAAGCUCGUAGACUCCCGGACAACAUGGCUACAACAUACGAAGCCGGUAGACUCCCAGCAGUGGGAAGUGGGAUGCGGAUGCUAGGGCUGGGGAAGGAUGGGGGCUGCUGGCCCACGGCUCUGGAAGAUGAACCAAGGCGCGCUGACAUAUUGAGGGUGUAAGCUUAUAUGUGGGGAUCAUGGGACAUAGACCCAAAGCUCUGCUGAGGUGGAGUGAUAUGGGGAGCCAGGAAGUCAUGUGAGCAAGGUGCAUCCCACCCUUUCUCAGAAGUCUGCCUGUCUUCUUGGUUAGACGUAGGUAGACUGUUUCUAGGCGCAUUUUACAGACAGGAAAACAGAAGCUCUGGAAGAGACAUGAUGACCUAGGCCACAGUGAGUGCGAGUCUCUCACUCUGAGCCCAGCCUCUGUGGGGCUCUUUUGUGCCAAAUCUGGGUGAAGAUGGGGGAAGGAGGGCUGUGGCUGUUUGGGGAUCUGAACUUCAGCCCUCCCGCCAUGACUGAGCAGAGAAAAGGGAAUGGUCUUGGUAUGGGCUGCCUAGAGCAAGACAUACUUCUUAUGACACAGGAAGCCACACAAGUCAAGGAGGGACCAGUUCAGAUUGGUGACUUCCCAUGAAGGCUCCGUGGACUUGGAGGUGCAGCGCCGACCAGGAGGGCAUCUUGGAAGGGGACAGAAAGUGGUACUGAAGGGCAAGAGUGUGCUUGCUCUGUGGAGGAUGGCAAAGUCCUACAGGACGGGUGUGUGUGUAGGUGACUCUUCCAUGAAGGUGGGCCCAUUCUCCUACUGUGGUGCAGCUGUGUAACAAACAGCCCCUGGCAGUGAACUUGCUCACAUGAUGGCUGGAGGUUGGGUCUUCUUUUCCCAGUUACAGGCAUGGACAUUCACUUCUUCUAAAGUUACCUUGGCUUCUGGGCUUUCUUACAGCCUGCAGGCAUGGAUGGAUGGAUGGGAGCCACACAGCCCAGCCUCAUUCAGGAAUUAUGGCCUUGCUGGACUGUGAAUAUUUUGGGUGGCACCACAGAAUGGCUAUACUACAGUGCUCAGUGUUCUGAUGGCAGGAAGCCUGGCUGCCCACAGUAGUUCCCGCUAGAGUUUCUUACCUUGGCAGCCCCACAUCCCUGAUUCUUCUUCUGGUGCUAUGUCCAUUAGGGCGUGUGUGUGUGUGUGUGUGUGUAUGUGUGUGUGUGUGUGCGCGCACGCGCGCGUGCAGGAUGGACACAAAUCCACAGAGGCUUUCUGAGAUAGGAGACCUAGUUGGAUCCAAAUCUAGAGUUGGGAUGGGAGCUGAUGAUUGGGCUUCUGGGUUCUGGGGACAAUCCUGGGGUGCCCAUGGCAGGAAAAUCUGAGGGGAAUCCAUUUCUCAGCAGCCCUGUGGGCACAGGCUGGGAUGUGGCUACCAGAUCGAGCUGAGACAAGACGGGACACACAGUCACCUUCUGACUCUUAUGAAUCCCACCCUUGGGCCCCAGGCCCCCCCCCAGAUGAGGCCCCUUUAAAUGCAAGGUUCUGUCUUCCAAAAGACCCCUCCCAGUCUCCUGGGUAGCCAGGUAAACAAAAGUGAGACCCUAGCUUCUGACAUGGCUUCCCCUUGCUCUGGGCAUCUUAGCCCCACUGGUCUGCCCCCGCCCCCUGUGGCCACUCCAGGUGAGACACUCAGAGGAUGAGUGAAGAAGUGGGGGAGGGUGUGUGAGAACUAGGAGAAGUGAUCCAGAAAGUGGGGGCGGGGCCCAGUCAGCUGAGGGCUCUUCCUCCUAGCUGAGCUCCUUCCUGCUUCUUCUCUCCUUGGCCCUCUAGGGGGAGAACAGACACACAACCUCCUUUGCUCUGGCCACACCUCUAGGACCCCAGGACCUCAGCCCUCCACCCCUAUGGGGACAUCACCCUCUCUGGUCACCAUUUUCCUGUCAUCCCACAGAGUGGCUCGUGCCUCUGGAUUCUUCUGCUCCUAGGAGUCUGUUUCCCCAGCAUGGUCACGACCUGAUCAGCAGGUCCCGCUGCGCCUCCUGCACCGCGCUUCCCCGACAUCUAUGGCGGCGACGCGCAGCUCUGGGAGGCGCAUUUCCGCGGCAUCCGGAGCGCCUACCGAGCGCUGGGCAAGGAGGACGACUUCGCCAUCCGCGUGC
This is an RNA transcript of Alexandromys fortis (reed vole), 4599 nucleotides long. It is a transcript of the gene named chromosome unknown C8orf90 homolog, with no coding region annotated. NCBI's taxonomy places the organism in Eukaryota, Metazoa, Chordata, Mammalia, Rodentia, Cricetidae. The transcript has 2 exons. The record is from RefSeq and is a predicted model, not a curated record.